GCUGGGUGUGGUGGUGCAUGCCUGUAAUCCCAGCAGCUUGGGAGGCUGAGGCAUGAGGAUUGUGAGUUUGAGGCCAGCCUUAACAACUUAGUGAGGCCCUAGGUAACCCAGUGAGACCCUGUCUCUA
This 127-nucleotide small RNA is filed under the name Marmota monax (woodchuck). The record is from RNAcentral. Lineage: Eukaryota; Metazoa; Chordata; Mammalia; Rodentia; Sciuridae.